AGGGGGCGGGGGUCCGCGCCCCGCCCCUGCCCCACCCUCUCCCCUCACGGCGCGGCGGGAAACGGGUCCGCACCCCGCCGGCCGCCCCCCACUCACCCAGCAGCGCCCGGAGAUGCUUGAGGCGGGCUCGCUUGAUGCCGUGCCCUGUGGGUUAUCCUCCACGAACGUGUGAACAGCUGUCAGCUUUGGUGUAGAAAUGGGAGAGGGAGGAACCAGUGUUACCGUGGCGUCAGGUGCGGCAAGCCAUCUUCUGGUCUUUUCAGGCACAUUAAAAGCAUCUCUUAGCACCUCUGCUGUGACUUCGGUUUCUUAAGGUAGUAUCACCACCUUCUCUGAAAAACAGAGCUGGAUCCAACAGCCCGCAGAGGGACGCAUCCAGAGGAGCGGGGUUUCCAGGGGAAGAGCUGCCCAAGGCUCGGGGAAAGCCCCCAGCAUGGGCUGAACCAGCUGGUCCCACCAAAGGAGGGCUGGCGGCUGGGCUGACGUGAAUUAAGGCCACCUCAGUGAGCAGCGGUGGAGGACGAGGCCAGCGGGCUUUCUGCUAAAUGCACUCGGGAUGAGCAAUUAAACGGUGCAGAUGCAGUGUGGUAAGCAUUGUUUUUAGUUACGGAUUCUUCAAAAACCACACUUUCCGCGUCACCGAUAUUUUUUCCUGCGUUUUGACCCAGCUAGCAACAGCAGAGCACCACACGUGCCCUCCGCCCACCGGUGUCUGCAGCCUCCCGACCCCUCCAGGACCGGCGCCAGGGGGGCUGGAGAUGAAAUGCAGACCGUGGCAUGGGGCAGCAUUUCCAUAAGUGCUGUUUGCGAAGGCAGGUGCGAUUCCUUACAUUAUCGCCAGAACAUUUAAAUCUUAAUGACUGGCAUUGUUGUCUCAAAGACGGUGUUUUUCCUGCUGAGAAACUGCAUUAGAUUGGAGAAACAGAGCUCAUUUCCAUUCACUCAGCAGUCUCUCUAGAAAUGACAUGCAGUGCUUGAAACUGUUUAUUUCCAAAUUCAGGCCUCCUCCGCAUCAGUCAUCAGCUUCAAUUACCAGUUUUCCGGAGCUGAGCCAUCAGGCAGUCUGACACGAGGGUCCAACCUAAUUCCCACCUUCUCCAAAGUCAAGAGCAUAAUGUGCAGAUGAAAAGGUGGAAAAUAGCCUGGACUUCAUUAGCAUGCAGAGCCCGGCUGUUCAUUUGCUUGCUGCGAAUGGAAGUUCUGACACUCGGCGCCUUCUGCAAUAUGAGAAAAGUCCUCUUCAGAGUAUAUGAUGUCCUUACCAGCCAGGAAAGGUCAUCAAAAAGGCAGGCGCUGACCUUGCUCCCUGCUCUUCAUGACUAGUUUAUUGAUUCCAGGAACACCUCAUUACAUGCCGGAUCAACAUAUUAUUGCCAUGUUCAGCGGCUGAAUUGUUUACAAGUGUCUUUAUAACCAGCAAAAGCCUUCCGGAUGAUGCAUGACUACACUCAUUUGGAUGUGACCUGCCAAUUAUGUGUUAUCCGAUAUGGUGCUGUGUGUCUUGAUCCCUGACCGGGCCCGCUGCCCUGCAUCAGCACGGGCCCAUUUACUACUUCUUUCUAACCGCUCUUUGGGAAAGUGUCCAUUAGCCUGUCAGUCUGUAAAUAUUUUAUUUUUUUUUUUACCUCCGCUGCAGGCAACACGAGCGUUAUUGCUCUGUCAUUUGCUAUGCAUGAGGUUCAUAAUCAGUUGGGGGAAGAGGGUUGUUUUUUUUAUGGCGGCGUCUGAUAACCCACGCAAUUUGCAGUCAGUAUGCAUGGCGAGCGGUGCGACUUGUUACAGAGCCGCGUGCUGGCCCUGCGAGAGAGACCUGUCAUAUUUUAUUCAGGCGCGAGUACUGCGAGGCUGGUGAUUUAUUUGCGGGAGGGAAGGCAGGAGCAAACCCCCCCCUCCUCCCCAGCCUCUCCCUUCCCUGCCUUUAAAGGUCCAAUAACUUACCACCCAGCAAAUGCAUUUUCCUCUUCUACAUA
Molecule: long non-coding RNA, 1970 nt
Organism: Falco peregrinus (peregrine falcon)
Lineage: Eukaryota; Metazoa; Chordata; Aves; Falconiformes; Falconidae
Exons: 4
Source: RefSeq, a predicted model, not a curated record